Molecule: long non-coding RNA, 1405 nt
Filed under: Androctonus crassicauda
Lineage: Eukaryota; Metazoa; Arthropoda; Arachnida; Scorpiones; Buthidae
Source: RNAcentral
UUAAAAUUUUCAAAGACUUUUUCAAAUUUUCUGAAAUUUGAAAAUGAAAUUUCAUGUUUGUAAGUACAAAUAUUUACAACUAGAAUAUUCAUAACUCAAGGAACAAGCAUAAUUUAUAUAUUUAGCAUAGAAAUACAUUUAAUAAUAAUGAUUGAUACAAAUUCAGAAUUUUGAAACACAUAUUCAGUUUUAUAUAGUGAUUCAUCUAUAAAUUGGCUGAUGUAUAAUUGGUCCAUGCCAAUACAAAUAAAGAUCAAUCAAUAUCAAAAUAAUUUGUUAAAUUCAUACACUAUUUAUUUGAAAGCAUAUCUUGAGAUGAAGCCAAAAAUAGAAAUGUUAUAUAUUACAAUCACCUUGUGAAUGAUUGGGUAAGAAUAAAAUGGAUAAGAGAGAGAUUUAGUGAUAAUCUGUUGGAUCCAUGAUUGCAACUAUUAGGCGAGACAUUUCUAUAAAAUGCAUAAGAUCUGGAACAAAAUAUAUAUGAUUUCAUCAUAUUAAAUAAAAUUGAUGCCAAUCUAUAAUAGCAUAGCAAUAUUCUUAAAUUUUUAUUAUUGAUCUAUGAUUAAUAGUGUUCACUGUGUUUCAGAUUACUGAAUAGGCAUGGUUGAUUAUCUCAAAUGAAAGAUUUGAAAAUAACAAGUUCCAUUUGAAAAGUUAAUUGUGUAAAUUUGAUAUGGAAAAAUAAUUGUGAUCAACUGUCUAUGAUAAAGAAUAGAUGGUGCAAGAAGCUUUUGUAUUUGAAACUUUCUUUUAUCUUUUUUCAUUCAUUUUGAGAUGAAAUUUGUUGUAGGAAUUUAAUUUUUUUCACAUUGAUCAGUAAAUACUUACAUUGUUUUAUUCAAUACUUUAUCUACAUCCAUGAAAUGUUUAAAAUUCCCUCCUAUUGUUUCUCGCUAUCCACUUUCACACACUCAUUUGAGCAGAGAAUGCUUGGAGUAUGUAAAAUUUGUAUUUUUGAAUUUAUUCUCAAGAUAUACUUUCAAGGGAUGAUUUUAAUUUUUUUCUUUGACAUUAAAAUUGCCUUUCUCUUGUUACAUAUAAAUUCCUUUUGGAAGGCUCAUAAGUUGGAAACUUGUCUAUCAUGUACCAAAAUUCACCAAAUAAUUUAAAAAUGAUUAAAAUAAUUAAUUAAAAUCAUUUAACUGCAUAAUAUAGUAUAUAAGAAAGAUUUAAAAAUAGCACAAAAUUAUUAAUUUAAAAUAUUCAUAUAAAAUGCAAUAUUUGGAAAACCAGUUUUUUGAUAAAUUAACUGAUUUUUUUCAUUUCAAAGGUGGCCAGCCUAUCAGUGAAUCACUGUGAUUUUAAAUGCACAAAUAUAUAUAUACCAGUAUACACAUAAUUGAUGAUAAUAUGAUAUUUAUUUUUAACAUAGAAAAAUAAUUAAAAUAAUUUUUAUUGAAAAUAC